CCCUACGGGGCGCAGCAGUAGGGAAUCUUCCACAAUGGACGAAAGUCUGAUGGCGCAACGCCGCGUGAGUGAAGAAGGGUUUCGGCUCGUAAAGCUCUGUUGGUAGUGAAGAAAGAUAGAGGUAGUAACUGGCCUUUAUUUGACGGUAAUUACUUAGAAAGUCACGGCUAACUACGUGCCAGCAGCCGCGGUAAUACGUAGGUGGCAAGCGUUGUCCGGAUUUAUUGGGCGUAAAGCGAGUGCAGGCGGUUCUAUAAAUCUGUUGUUAAAAAC
Molecule: ribosomal RNA, 273 nt
Filed under: uncultured bacterium
Lineage: Bacteria
Description: partial 16S ribosomal RNA
Rfam family: Bacterial small subunit ribosomal RNA
Source: RNAcentral